UAAAAAUAAGCAUCACCAUGCGUUUUUGCAACUUAAAAAUAAAAACUCAAGGUCAAGUGAAGUGAAUAUUACACCAAGAACAAGAACUAGUUCACCUGUUUCGUCUACUAAUUUAACUAUUACCAAUACUAAUAAACCUGCUGAGAUAGAAAAUAACUUCAUGGAAUUGUCUGAAAUUGCGAUUUACGAUGAUACUGGUCUAAGUAUUUUAUUUGUGCAAGAUCAAACGUAGCUUUAGAAUCUAAAUAUCAAUUGUUCAUAACCAAUAACCAGUCAACUAAUGAUGUGUAAUUACUAAAAGUAUCGAUAUCGAUAAAUUUAAAUUUUGGUGUUCUCACUUAACCUUAAUACUAUUUAUGAGGACAAGUGUAAUGAAAUAUAUACAAAAUAUUCAAUAAUUUUUUUCAGACUGAAUCCUCCAAAGAUGGUCAGAGUAAAGACUUGUGGAAACAGACUACACUCAUAGAUAUGUUUGAAAGAAGUUCAAGCUAUGAAGCAGGGGGUCAUAAAACUAGCCAAAUAAAUCAAGCUUUGAUCUACAUGAUUUGCAAAGACAACAUGCCUCUAUCUUGUGUAGAAAAAUCAGGAUUGAAAAGAUUUAUGAGCGUCAUUUGUCCACGCUAUAAAAUUCCAUCACGAACUACUAUAACUGGCCUCAUGGAACAACGAUACGCCACUACCAAAGCCAUUUUAAAACAAAAAUUAAGUGAGAUAAAUAAUAUUGCUUUAACAAGUGGUUGGCAAAUAUCUCCCUUCCGCUUUUUUGCUCUUUAUUCAAUGCUUUAUAAAAAGUGUUACAGUGAUCGGAUUUAGUUCAAAUAUGCGCCGUUUUGUUCGAUAA
Molecule: long non-coding RNA, 841 nt
Organism: Dalotia coriaria
Lineage: Eukaryota; Metazoa; Arthropoda; Insecta; Coleoptera; Staphylinidae
Exons: 3
Source: RefSeq, a predicted model, not a curated record